UUGCUAUUUGGUGUCGAGUGGCGAACGGGUGAGUAACGCGUAAGAAUCUACCCAGUAGAGGGGGAUAGCCCGAAGAAAUUCGGAUUAAUACCGCAUAAUCUCUACGGAGUAAAGAAGGCCUCUUUACAAUGCUUUUACUAUUGGAUGAGCCUGCGUUAGAUUAGUUAGUUGGUAGGGUAAAAGCCUACCAAGGCGACGAUCUAUAGCUGGUUUUACGAGAAUGAUCAGCCACACUGGAACUGAGACACGGUCCAGACUCCUACGGGAGGCAGCAGUGAAAAAUAUUGGACAAUGGGGGAAACCCUGAUCCAGCAAUGUUGCGUGUGUGAAGAAGGUCCGAGGAUUGUAAAGCACUUUCAGUAUGCUAGAAAAAUGUAAAUCUAAUAGAUUUGCAUGUUGACCACUUAUAGAAGAAGCAUCGGCUAACUCCGUGCCAGCAGCCGCGGUAAUACAGAGGGUGCGAGCGUUAAUCGGAUUUUCUGGGCGUAAAGGGUAAGUAG
RNAcentral lists this ribosomal RNA (500 nucleotides) under uncultured bacterium. Its description in RNAcentral is "bacterial SSU rRNA". It matches the Rfam family "Bacterial small subunit ribosomal RNA", at positions 78 to 574 of the family's 1533-position model. The record is from RNAcentral.